RNAcentral lists this non-coding RNA (25 nucleotides) under Mus musculus (house mouse). The record is from RNAcentral. Lineage: Eukaryota; Metazoa; Chordata; Mammalia; Rodentia; Muridae.
UGGCACCUGGAUCCCCGCAGUCACC